CCUACGUGUGGCAGCAGUGGGGAAUAUUGCGCAAUGGGCGAAAGCCUGACGCAGCGACGCCGCGUGAGGGAUGAAGGUCUUCGGAUCGUAAACCUCUGUCAGCAGGGAAGAACGGUCACUGUGCUAAUCAGCAGUGAAUUGACGGUACCUGCAAAGGAAGCACCGGCUAACUCCGUGCCCGCAGCCGCGGUAAUACGGAGGGUGCGAGCGUUAAUCGGAAUUACUGGGCGUAAAGCGCUCGUAGGCGGUAUGUCAAGUCAAGGGUGAAAUCCCCGCGCUCAACGUGGGAACUGCCUUUGAAACGGGCAAACUGGAGUGUGUGAGAGGAUAGUGGAAUUCCAGGUGUAGGAGUGAAAUCCGUAGAUAUCUGGAGGAACAUCAGUGGCGAAGGCGACUAUCUGGCACAUAACUGACGCUGAGGAGCGAAAGCGUGGGUAGCAAACAGGAUUAGAUACCCCAGGAGUC
Molecule: ribosomal RNA, 465 nt
Filed under: uncultured bacterium
Lineage: Bacteria
Description: partial 16S ribosomal RNA
Rfam family: Bacterial small subunit ribosomal RNA
Source: RNAcentral